This 639-nucleotide ribosomal RNA is filed under the name uncultured actinomycete. RNAcentral describes it as "bacterial SSU rRNA". It matches the Rfam family "Bacterial small subunit ribosomal RNA", at positions 232 to 885 of the family's 1533-position model. The record is from RNAcentral. Lineage: Bacteria; Bacillati; Actinomycetota; Actinomycetes; Actinomycetales.
CGCGGCCUAUCAGCUUGUUGGUGAGGUAACGGCUCACCAAGGCAACGACGGGUAGCUGGUCUGAGAGGACGAUCAGCCACACUGGGACUGAGACACGGCCCAGACUCCUACGGGAGGCAGCAGUGGGGAAUCUUGCGCAAUGGGCGAAAGCCUGACGCAGCAACGCCGCGUGGGGGAUGAAGGCUCUCGGGUUGUAAACCCCUUUCAGCAGGGACGAAAAUGACGGUACCUGCAGAAGAAGCCCCGGCCAACUACGUGCCAGCAGCCGCGGUAACACGUAGGGGGCAAGCGUUGUCCGGAAUUAUUGGGCGUAAAGAGCUCGUAGGCGGUUCGGUAAGUCAGGUGUGAAAACUCAGGGCUCAACCCUGAGACUGCACCUGAUACUGCUGUGACUAGAGUCCGGUAGAGGAGUGUGGAAUUCCUGGUGUAGCGGUGAAAUGCGCAGAUAUCAGGAGGAACACCAGCGGCGAAGGCGGCACUCUGGGCCGGAACUGACGCUGAGGAGCGAAAGCGUGGGUAGCGAACAGGAUUAGAUACCCUGGUAGUCCACGCCGUAAACGUUGGGCACUAGGUGUGGGGUCUUAUCAACGGAUUCUGCGCCGUAGCUAACGCAUUAAGUGCCCCGCCUGGGGAGUACGG